This 73-nucleotide transfer RNA is filed under the name Ornithorhynchus anatinus (platypus). It matches the Rfam family "tRNA". From Rfam's summary of the family: Transfer RNA (tRNA) molecules are approximately 80 nucleotides in length. Their secondary structure includes four short double-helical elements and three loops (D, anti-codon, and T loops). Lineage: Eukaryota; Metazoa; Chordata; Mammalia; Monotremata; Ornithorhynchidae. The record is from Rfam by way of RNAcentral.
AGCACCGUGGCCUAGCGGAUAGAGCGCAGGCCUGGGAGUCUGAAGGACCUGGGUUCUAGUCCCAGCUCUGCUA